GAUUCUCCUCCUGACCCUCUCAUGCACUCAAUGUGCACUGGGCCUGAAGAGUGCUUUCGAGCACAGUGCCCGAAGCAAGAAGCAAAGUUGCCUGGACCGAAAGCGAAGCCAUCGCAAGUUCUGCGUAGUUCAGAUCCGGAUGGCCCGUGGCUGGUUCACAAGAUCGCCUGGCGACGGGCUGUACUUUUACAUUUCCCCCUCUGAAUGGCAGCUGCUGCCGGAAAUAAAUGUUAUGUUUAUCCGA
Long non-coding RNA from Dermacentor silvarum, 244 nucleotides. RefSeq lists it as uncharacterized. The record is from RefSeq and is a predicted model, not a curated record. NCBI's taxonomy places the organism in Eukaryota, Metazoa, Arthropoda, Arachnida, Ixodida, Ixodidae. The transcript is spliced from 2 exons.